This 669-nucleotide ribosomal RNA is filed under the name Triticum aestivum (bread wheat). RNAcentral's name for it is "partial small subunit ribosomal RNA". The record is from RNAcentral. Lineage: Eukaryota; Viridiplantae; Streptophyta; Magnoliopsida; Poales; Poaceae.
AUGAGUGGCAUGAUGGCGGCAGGGAGGAGCAGGAUGUUCAUCCCUCUCAGGCCACGGGCGCUCUCGCAGCAACGCACUCUCCUUGCCGGCCUCGCCGCCGCCUUCGCGGUCACCCUACUCUGCAUCCUCCUCCUGCUCUCCUCCCUUCCCGCCGCCUCCUCGCCACCGCCCCGCCGGCGCCACGACAUCGACACAACAUCCAGGACCGCGCGUAGUCCUCCCGCUCAUUGCGGCGCGAUGAGCGCGAGCCUGGGGGAGUUCGGCGACAUGAUGGUGUCCAUGCUCCCGAGGGACCUCGCCUUCACCGCCUUUGUGCCCUCGCCGGAGUCGUUCCGCCGCGUUCUCAGGCUGCGGCACAACGACAGCGCCGCGGGGCUGAAGGCCAGCGACGACACCUACGCCGUCAUCUCUCGCGUGCUCGGCUUCUCCGCCGUGCCUCUGCGCCUGCGCUCCGGGGACGUGGCUCUGCGCGGGACGGCGCGGCUGCUGGACCUGGACUCCGUGUCCGGACUGAAGGUGCACGCGUGGAGGGACGUGGACGGGGCUCUCGUCGUCAACGGCGUGCGGUCGGAGUGCGUCGAUAUCGUCAGGGACGAGACCGUGGUCCAUGUCAUGGCGGGGGUCCUCAUGGACGCCGAGUUCGAGCGAUCUCUUUCCCUUCAGAAUUAG